Populus trichocarpa (black cottonwood) is the source of this 74-nucleotide non-coding RNA. Lineage: Eukaryota; Viridiplantae; Streptophyta; Magnoliopsida; Malpighiales; Salicaceae. The record is from Rfam.
UAAUGUUUAGUUCAGUUCGGUAGAACACGGGUCUCUAAUACCCGAAGUCAUGGAUUCAAAUUCUAUAAUGAUAA